Molecule: ribosomal RNA, 965 nt
Filed under: Trigonopterus sp. 913 AR-2022a
Lineage: Eukaryota; Metazoa; Arthropoda; Insecta; Coleoptera; Curculionidae
Description: SSU rRNA
Source: RNAcentral
GUCAUAUGCUGUYUCAAAGAUAAGCCAUGCAUGUCUCAGUACAAGCCAAAUUAAGGUGAAACCGCGAAAGGCUCAUUAAAUCAGUUAUGGUUCCUUAGAUCGUACCCACAAUUACUUGGAUAACUGUGGUAAUUCUAGAGCUAAUACAUGCAAACAGAGCUCCGACCGGAGACGGAAGGAGUGCUUUUAUUAGAUCAAAACCAAUCGGUGGCGGGUUCGCUCGUCAUCGUACAACUUGGUGACUCUGAAUAACUUUACGCUGAUCGCACGGUCAUCGCACCGGCGACGCAUCUUUCAAAUGUCUGCCUUAUCAACUGUCGAUGGUAGGUUCUGCGCCUACCAUGGUUGUAACGGGUAACGGGGAAUCAGGGUUCGAUUCCGGAGAGGGAGCCUGAGAAACGGCUACCACAUCCAAGGAAGGCAGCAGGCGCGCAAAUUACCCACUCCCGGCACGGGGAGGUAGUGACGAAAAAUAACGAUACGGGACUCAUCCGAGGCCCCGUAAUCGGAAUGAGUACACUCUAAACCCUUUAACGAGGAUCAAUUGGAGGGCAAGUCUGGUGCCAGCAGCCGCGGUAAUUCCAGCUCCAAUAGCGUAUAUUAAAGUUGUUGCGGUUAAAAAGCUCGUAGUCGAAUUUGUGUCUCGCGCCGCCGGUUCAUCGUCCGCGGUGUUAACUGGCGAGUCGCGAGACGUCCUGCCGGUGGGCUUAGCUCGCGAGGGCGGCCCAACUCAAUCCUGCCGCGGUGCUCUUCAUUGAGUGUCGAGGUGGGCCGGCACGUUUACUUUGAACAAAUUAGAGUGCUUAAAGCAGGCUAAAACUUCGCCUGAAUACUGUGUGCAUGGAAUAAUGGAAUAGGACCUCGGUUCUAUUUUGUUGGUUUUCGGAACCCCGAGGUAAUGAUUAAUAGGAACGGAUGGGGGCAUUCGUAUUGCGACGUUAGAGGUGAAAUUCUUGGAUCGUCGC